UCUGAGCGCUUACGGGCUAGCUUAUUGGCGAGAGCACCUCCAGCAUGGAAGGGGCUGUGCAUCCUGCUUGCCUGGCCCAUUUAGCUUUCCUCCCACUGGGGCUUUGCCUCUGCAGCUUUCAAAAGGUUCCAGACAUCAGCAUGGGCGCCAGGCUACCGCGUUCCCCAGGUCCAGAGACAAGUUUGACCAUCUAUUGAAUGGAAAUAUGGGAUCCAUGUUUGAUAAUAUUGGCAAGAUACUACAAUGAUAAAGCAAGUUUCAAAAAGCUGAGUUGAGAAGCUGAACAUGCUGACUGACCUUAAUUUUUGCUAUCCAAUUAUUUAUCUUGAUCUCACUCUCUGACUUCAUACUUCUCAACCUGGUCAAUGAAUUUGUCGUAAACUUCC
Meriones unguiculatus (Mongolian gerbil) is the source of this 386-nucleotide long non-coding RNA. RefSeq lists it as uncharacterized. The transcript is spliced from 3 exons. Lineage: Eukaryota; Metazoa; Chordata; Mammalia; Rodentia; Muridae. The record is from RefSeq and is a predicted model, not a curated record.